AGUAAUGGGGAUCGCUGUGAACCGGGGCGCUCGCAUUUCCACCUAAGCGGAGAGAGACAGACAGCACGGACGAAUAACAGACUCGACGUCGAUGAAGUGUGUCAUUUAAUAACUGGAGCACCGCGUCCGUUUAUCAUACUCGUGCUUAUAAGCGUUUUUUACUCUCAAAAAAGAGCCCCACUCGGCAAGUUAUCGCCAAUAAGACCAGGAUAACAAGUCUGGUAAACCUCUCUACAGACCGACAAAUAGCAAAGUUGAUGACCCAGAAGGAUCUCUUUCUCUUGGCCACUUCGUCACUGUCUUUGAAGACGGACUAUCCAAACCAUUCAACAAGGAAACUCCUUUCUAUCGAGACCUUGGCUCCUGAAGAAUGAGCAGCCAAUG
This is a long non-coding RNA of Oncorhynchus masou masou (cherry salmon), 384 nucleotides long. RefSeq lists it as uncharacterized. Lineage: Eukaryota; Metazoa; Chordata; Actinopteri; Salmoniformes; Salmonidae. The transcript has 3 exons. The record is from RefSeq and is a predicted model, not a curated record.